GAUGAACGCUGGCGGCGUGCUUAACACGUGCAAGUCGAACGGAAAGGCCAGUGCUUGCACUGGUACUCGAGUGGCGAACGGGUGAGUAACACGUGGGUGAUCUGCCCUGCACUUCGGGAUAAGCCUGGGAAACUGGGUCUAAUACCGGAUAGGACAAUGGUUUGGAUGCCGUUGUGGAAAGUUUUUUCGGUGUGGGAUGAGCUCGCGGCCUAUCAGCUUGUUGGUGGGGUAAUGGCCUACCAAGGCGUCGACGGGUAGCCGGCCUGAGAGGGUGUACGGCCACAUUGGGACUGAGAUACGGCCCAGACUCCUACGGGAGGCAGCAGUGGGGAAUAUUGCACAAUGGGCGCAAGCCUGAUGCAGCGACGCCGCGUGGGGGAUGACGGCCUUCGGGUUGUAAACUCCUUUCGCUAGGGACGAAGCGUAUUUGUGACGGUACCUGGAGAAGAAGCACCGGCUAACUACGUG
RNAcentral lists this ribosomal RNA (468 nucleotides) under uncultured bacterium. Its description in RNAcentral is "partial 16S ribosomal RNA". It matches the Rfam family "Bacterial small subunit ribosomal RNA", at positions 28 to 507 of the family's 1533-position model. The record is from RNAcentral.